This 102-nucleotide small nucleolar RNA is filed under the name Ananas comosus (pineapple). Lineage: Eukaryota; Viridiplantae; Streptophyta; Magnoliopsida; Poales; Bromeliaceae. The record is from RNAcentral.
GGGGGGCAAAUGAGGAGUCUUUUUUACAAUUAAUGGGUAAUUUGCGUCUGAGGAUUCACGGUGAUGUUACCCUUUUAUCACCUUGGAGAUCUGAUGCCCCAC